RNAcentral lists this ribosomal RNA (253 nucleotides) under uncultured bacterium. RNAcentral describes it as "partial 16S ribosomal RNA". It matches the Rfam family "Bacterial small subunit ribosomal RNA", at positions 524 to 776 of the family's 1533-position model. The record is from RNAcentral.
UACGAAGGGGGCUAGCGUUGCUCGGAAUCACUGGGCGUAAAGGGCGCGUAGGCGGCCUGAUAAGUCGGGGGUGAAAGCCUGUGGCUCAACCACAGAAUUGCCUUCGAUACUGUUAGGCUUGAGUAUGGUAGAGGUUGGUGGAACUGCGAGUGUAGAGGUGAAAUUCGUAGAUAUUCGCAAGAACACCGGUGGCGAAGGCGGCCAACUGGACCAUUACUGACGCUGAGGCGCGAAAGCGUGGGGAGCAAACAGG